CAAGUCGAGCGGACAGAUGGGAGCUUGCUCCCUGAUGUUAGCGGCGGACGGGUGAGUAACACGUGGGUAACCUGCCUGUAAGACUGGGAUAACUCCGGGAAACCGGGGCUAAUACCGGAUGCUUGUUUGAACCGCAUGGUUCAAACAUAAAAGGUGGCUUCGGCUACCACUUACAGAUGGACCCGCGGCGCAUUAGCUAGUUGGUGAGGUAAUGGCUCACCAAGGCAACGAUGCGUAGCCGACCUGAGAGGGUGAUCGGCCACACUGGGACUGAGACACGGCCCAGACUCCUACGGGAGGCAGCAGUAGGGAAUCUUCCGCAAUGGACGAAAGUCUGACGGAGCAACGCCGCGUGAGUGAUGAAGGUUUUCGGAUCGUAAAGCUCUGUUGUUAGGGAAGAACAAGUACCGUUCGAAUAGGGCGGUACCUUGACGGUACCUAACCAGAAAGCCACGGCUAACUACGUGCCAGCAGCCGCGGUAAUACGUAGGUGGCAAGCGUUGUCCGGAAUUAUUGGGCGUAAAGGGCUCGCAGGCGGUUUCUUAAGUCUGAUGUGAAAGCCCCCGGCUCAACCGGGGAGGGUCAUUGGAAACUGGGGAACUUGAGUGCAGAAGAGGAGAGUGGAAUUCCACGUGUAGCGGUGAAAUGCGUAGAGAUGUGGAGGAACACCAGUGGCGAAGGCGACUCUCUGGUCUGUAACUGACGCUGAGGAGCGAAAGCGUGGGGAGCGAACAGGAUUAGAUACCCUGGUAGUCCACGCCGUAAACGAUGAGUGCUAAGUGUUAGGGGGGUUUCCGCCCCUUAGUGCUGCAGCUAACGCAUUAAGCACUCCGCCUGGGGAGUACGGUCGCAAGACUGAAACUCAAAGGAAUUGACGGGGGCCCGCACAAGCGGU
Molecule: ribosomal RNA, 895 nt
Filed under: Bacillus sp. (in: firmicutes)
Lineage: Bacteria; Bacillati; Bacillota; Bacilli; Caryophanales; Bacillaceae
Also listed under: 1 other name
Description: bacterial SSU rRNA
Rfam family: Bacterial small subunit ribosomal RNA
Source: RNAcentral